This 439-nucleotide ribosomal RNA is filed under the name uncultured bacterium. Its description in RNAcentral is "partial 16S ribosomal RNA". It matches the Rfam family "Bacterial small subunit ribosomal RNA", at positions 338 to 795 of the family's 1533-position model. The record is from RNAcentral.
CCUACGGGAGGCAGCAGUGGGGAAUAUUGCACAAUGGGCGAAAGCCUGAUGCAGCAACGCCGCGUGAGCGAUGAAGGCCUUCGGGUCGUAAAGCUCUGUCCUCAAGGAAGAUAAUGCCGGUACUUGAGGAGGAAGCCCCGUCUAACUACGUGCCAGAUGCCGCGGUUAUACGUAGGGAGCUAGCGUUAUCCGGAGUUACUGGGCGUAAGGGGUGCGUAGGUGGUUUCUUAAGUCAGAGGUGAAAGGCUACGGCUCAACCGUAGUAAGCCUUUGAAACUGGGAGACUUGAGUGCAGGAGAGGAGAGUGGAAUUCCUAGUGUAGCGGUGAAAUGCGUAGAUAUUAGGAGGAACACCAGUUGCGAAGGCGGCUCUCUGGACUGUAACUGACACUGAGGCACGAAAGCGUGGGGAGCAAACAGGAUUAGAUACCCCAGUAGUC